UAAUACAUGCAAGUUGAGCGAUGAAGAUUGGUGCUUGCACCAAUUUGAAGAGCAGCGAACGGGUGAGUAACGCGUGGGGAAUCUGCCUUUGAGCGGGGGACAACAUUUGGAAACGAAUGCUAAUACCGCAUAAUAACUUUAAACAUAAGUUUUAAGUUUGAAAGAUGCAAUUGCAUCACUCAAAGAUGAUCCCGCGUUGUAUUAGCUAGUUGGUGAGGUAAAGGCUCACCAAGGCGAUGAUACAUAGCCGACCUGAGAGGGUGAUCGGCCACAUUGGGACUGAGACACGGCCCAAACUCCUACGGGAGGCAGCAGUAGGGAAUCUUCGGCAAUGGACGAAAGUCUGACCGAGCAACGCCGCGUGAGUGAAGAAGGUUUUCGGAUCGUAAAACUCUGUUGGUAGAGAAGAACGUUGGUGAGAGUGGAAAGCUCAUCAAGUGACGGUAACUACCCAGAAAGGGACGGCUAACUACGUGCCAGCAGCCGCGGUAAUACGUAGGUCCCGAGCGUUGUCCGGAUUUAUUGGGCGUAAAGCGAGCGCAGGUGGUUUAUUAAGUCUGGUGUAAAAGGCAGUGGCUCAACCAUUGUAUGCAUUGGAAACUGGUAGACUUGAGUGCAGGAGAGGAGAGUGGAAUUCCAUGUGUAGCGGUGAAAUGCGUAGAUAUAUGGAGGAACACCGGUGGCGAAAGCGGCUCUCUGGCCUGUAACUGACACUGAGGCUCGAA
Molecule: ribosomal RNA, 725 nt
Filed under: Lactococcus lactis
Lineage: Bacteria; Bacillati; Bacillota; Bacilli; Lactobacillales; Streptococcaceae
Description: bacterial SSU rRNA
Rfam family: Bacterial small subunit ribosomal RNA
Source: RNAcentral